AUGAAGCAAAGGUCUGCACCUACAUGUUAUCAGAAGUCAGGUCUUAGACAAGGUAAUGUUUUUCUAUCUGAUGAACUAGACAAGGUGUGCUCAGGUGACGCUACGGCAAAGGGCGGCGGCUCGGCUGAAGAGGGUUUGUUCGGCAGCGAUGUGGCAUGCUCGGGCCCAUGUGCGGAUGCGGUGGAGGGUGACACCGUGGCUACGACAGAGGACAGCGCUGGGCACAUGGGUUGGGCCAGGGCGCUGCUGCAGACUCGGUAUCGAGCGUGGCUGGAUGCUCGGCUGGGUUACUGGCCUCCGCAUCGCCAGCGUGCUUGUCCUCCGGUGUGGCUGCACAGUCAGGCCAGGGCAUGGCUGGGUCCUUGGCCUCGGGUACAUGAGCUUAUCCAGAAGGAUUAA
This 399-nucleotide ribosomal RNA is filed under the name Triticum aestivum (bread wheat). Its description in RNAcentral is "partial small subunit ribosomal RNA". The record is from RNAcentral. Lineage: Eukaryota; Viridiplantae; Streptophyta; Magnoliopsida; Poales; Poaceae.